This 499-nucleotide ribosomal RNA is filed under the name uncultured bacterium. RNAcentral's name for it is "partial 16S ribosomal RNA". It matches the Rfam family "Bacterial small subunit ribosomal RNA", at positions 28 to 507 of the family's 1533-position model. The record is from RNAcentral.
GACGAACGCUGGCGGCGUGCCUAAUACAUGCAAGUCGAGCGAAGUUUUUCUGGUGCUUGCACUAGAAAAACUUAGCGGCGAACGGGUGAGUAACACGUAAAGAACCUGCCUCAUAGACUGGGACAACUAUUGGAAACGAUAGCUAAUACCGGAUAACAGUAUUUCUCGCAUGAGAGAUAUUUAAAAGUUUGUUAUGCUAACACUAUGAGAUGGCUUUGCGGUGCAUUAGCUAGUUGGUGGGGUAAAGGCCCACCAAGGCGACGAUGCAUAGCCGACCUGAGAGGGUGAUCGGCCACACUGGGACUGAGACACGGCCCAGACUCCUACGGGAGGCAGCAGUAGGGAAUCUUCCGCAAUGGGCGAAAGCCUGACGGAGCAACGCCGCGUGAGUGAAGAAGGAUUUCGGUUCGUAAAGCUCUGUUGUUAGGGAAGAAUGGAUAUGUAGUAACUAUACAUGUAAGAGACGGUACCUAAUCAGAAAGCCACGGCUAACUACGUG